RNAcentral lists this ribosomal RNA (252 nucleotides) under uncultured bacterium. RNAcentral's name for it is "partial 16S ribosomal RNA". It matches the Rfam family "Bacterial small subunit ribosomal RNA", at positions 524 to 776 of the family's 1533-position model. The record is from RNAcentral.
UACGUAGGCAGCGAGCGUUGUUCGGAAUUACUGGGCGUAAAGAGUGUGUAGGCGGUGCUCUAAGUUCGGUGUGAAAUCUCCUGGCUCAACUGGGAGGGUGCGCCGGAAACUGGAGUGCUUGAGCGUGGGAGAGGAAAGCGGAAUUCCUGGUGUAGCGGUGAAAUGCGUAGAUAUCAGGAGGACACCUGUGGUGUAGACGGCUUUCUGGACCAUAGCUGACGCUGAGACACGAAAGCGUGGGUAGCAAACAGG